Molecule: ribosomal RNA, 490 nt
Filed under: uncultured bacterium
Lineage: Bacteria
Description: partial 16S ribosomal RNA
Rfam family: Bacterial small subunit ribosomal RNA
Source: RNAcentral
GAUGAACGCUAGCUACAGGCUUAACACAUGCAAGUCGAGGGGCAGCAUGGUCUUAGCUUGCUAAGGCCGAUGGCGACCGGCGCACGGGUGAGUAACACGUAUCCAACCUGCCGUCUACUCUUGGACAGCCUUCUGAAAGGAAGAUUAAUACAAGAUGGCAUCAUGAGUCCGCAUGUUCACAUGAUUAAAGGUAUUCCGGUAGACGAUGGGGAUGCGUUCCAUUAGAUAGUAGGCGGGGUAACGGCCCACCUAGUCUUCGAUGGAUAGGGGUUCUGAGAGGAAGGUCCCCCACAUUGGAACUGAGACACGGUCCAAACUCCUACGGGAGGCAGCAGUGAGGAAUAUUGGUCAAUGGGCGAGAGCCUGAACCAGCCAAGUAGCGUGAAGGACGACUGCCCUAUGGGUUGUAAACUUCUUUUAUAAAGGAAUAAAGGCGGGUAUGGAUACCCGUUUGCAUGUACUUGAUGAAUAAGGAUCGGCUAACUCCGUG